ACUUAGUAAUAGGGGUUGUGACAUCAAUGUUCUUACUCUAUUUAAAAGAACCAACCGACUGGGUAUAACUCAUUGUCUUUGCAUCGUCACACCUGAUCAACUGCUGAAAUUGACUGACUCGAAGAACUGACCACCAAGAUGAUGAUGAAGACUGUAAUCUUUCUGGGCUGCCUCCUGGGCCUGUCAUUGGCUCUUCCUGCUGAUGUGGAUCAUUUGAGAGUUGCACGUUCCAGCUCUGACUCCAACUCUAACUCAAACUCCAGGGAGGCUGGUUCCUUUCUGCCCUCCCUGCCACAGUUGAAUUCAAAUCAGCUACUUCAACUUCUACUUAAACUGUUUGCUGCCUCUGUCCCAGCACCAGCCCCUGCCCCAGCCCCUGCCCCAGCCCCUGCCCCCUGCCCCAGCCCCUGCCCCCCCAGCCCCAGCCCCAGCCCCUGCCCCUGCCCCAGCCCCUGCACCAGCCCCUGCCCCUGCACCAGCCCCUGCCCCAGGUGGACGUUAAACAGCAGGACAGGAAAAUGGAUAAAUUCAUACGCUUAUCAAGAGAACAUCCCUGGUCAUCCCUACUGUCUCUGAUCUGGUGGACUCACAAAACACAAAUGCUUAGUUUAUAAAGAUGUCUGAGUGUUGGAGUGUACCCCUGGCUAUCCGUAAAUAAAGUAAACAAGAAAAUGGUGGCGGUCUGGUUUGUUUAAUAUAAGGUUUUUGUAAUGAUUUAUACUUUUACUGUUGAGUAUAUCUGAGCAAUUACAUAAAACUUUUGAUACUUAAGUAUAUUUAAAACCAAAUACUUUUAGACUUUUACUCAAGUUGUAUUUAACUGGGUAACUUUAUUUUCUAUUAAGGUAUUUUUACUUUCACUCAAGUAUGACAAUUGGGUACCUUUCCCAACACUGGAUUCCCCAAACAUUAUAAGUACAAUGUAUAUCCUUUAAAUUCAUUAAUUCACUUUUCAGUCGAUCAGGUAUUUCAUGGAACUCCCAGACAUUGACUAUGAAGUGUGAUUCCUUUAUGCAUUUCUGUUUAAUAAACACAUUAAUAUUUCAAGCUCAAUUGUAUGUCUGUCCAGUCCUCUGAUGAAUGCUCAUUAAGUUUAUGGAAAUUGUGAGAAAUCUAUGCAAAGUGUGUUACAUUACAUUGCGUUAUUUAAUUAAAAAAAAAAAUGUUGUCCAUUAUAUUGCAUGACAGGAGAAAUCAAAAUAAAGUCUGGUACUUGAGCUAUAUUGUAUAAAUUGAGAAAUUAAAGUUAAACAUUACAAUUAAAUGUGUUCAUUUAGCCUCCGCAAUGCCCCAAAACAGGUAGACAAAUAAUCG
This is a long non-coding RNA of Oncorhynchus tshawytscha (Chinook salmon), 1314 nucleotides long. NCBI's taxonomy places the organism in Eukaryota, Metazoa, Chordata, Actinopteri, Salmoniformes, Salmonidae. The record is from Ensembl.